Molecule: long non-coding RNA, 1026 nt
Filed under: Ficedula albicollis (Collared flycatcher)
Lineage: Eukaryota; Metazoa; Chordata; Aves; Passeriformes; Muscicapidae
Description: lncRNA (ENSFALG00000025524.1)
Source: RNAcentral
AUGCUUUCUAUAUCAAACCUAAACCUCCUCUGGUGCAACUUGAGGCCAUUUCCUUUUGUUGUGUCCAGUCUUGAUGGCCUAGAUUACCUUGUCCAUGGUAGGUGGGAAGCUUCCCCACGUGGUGCAGGGUGCUCAGAGGACACAGCCUGCUCUGGAGUGUGGGCAUGCACCCACAUACCUGCAGGCACUGCCCUCUUCAUCCUCCAUCAGCCUGUGCCUGCAGGCACUGCCCUCUUCAUCCUCAUCAGCCCCUGUGCCUGCAGACACUGCCCUCUUCAUCCUCCAUCACUGUGUGCCUGCAGGCACUGCCCUCUUCAUCCUCAUCAGCCCCUGUGCCUGCAGACACUGCCCUCUUCAUCCUCCAUCACUGUGUGCCUGCAGGCACUGCCCUCUUCAUCCUCAUCAGCCCCUGUGCCUGCAGACACUGCCCUCUUCAUCCUCCAUCACUGUGUGCCUGCAGGCACUGCCCUCUUCAUCCUCAUCAGCCCCUGUGCCUGCAGACACUGCCCUCUUCAUCCUCCAUCACUGUGUGCCUGCAGGCACUGCCCUCUUCAUCCUCAUCAGCCCCUGUGCCUGCAGACACUGCCCUCUUCAUCCUCCAUCACUGUGUGCCUGCAGGCACUGCCCUCUUCAUCCUCAUCAGCCCCUGUGCCUGCAGACACUGCCCUCUUCAUCCUCCAUCACUGUGUGCCUGCAGGCACUGCCCUCUUCAUCCUCCCUCGCUCUGUGCAGGAUAAAACUGCCAGGGAUGUGCCGGAUCCUGGGCUGGCAGUGCCACACGUGCCAGUGGGUCACCAUCCCCGGUGGGUGGGCUGGGCUGGCAUGCAGCCUGGCAGGUGUGGGGGGGCAGGCAGACGUGCAGGUGUGCCUGGGGCUCAGGUGGGUGUGCUGAUGGCAGUGAGAAGCGGGUGUGCUGUGUGCCUGAGCACAGCCCUGUUGGUCUUGUGUUGGCAGUGUUUAUUUGUGUUAUGGUUCACUCAAGGGCCGUCUCAGCGAGUCAGAAAUCAAAGUGUUGCAAGCUCUUGA